Molecule: ribosomal RNA, 320 nt
Filed under: Paragordius sp. GG-2004
Lineage: Eukaryota; Metazoa; Nematomorpha; Gordioida; Gordea; Gordiidae
Description: eukaryotic LSU rRNA
Rfam family: Eukaryotic large subunit ribosomal RNA
Source: RNAcentral
CCAAGGAGUCUAACAGGUGCGCAAAUCUCAGGGUACAUAUAUUAACCCCGGGGGUGUAACGAAAGUGAAGAACUUGUUGCAAGUUUAAGGAAGGAAACGGUGUAAUACAUAUUACAAUCUGUUGCAAUUCCGUUCUGCCAUGAUCGGAGCAAUCGUGAUGUGGUGGAAAGAGAGCGUACAUGUUGGGACCCGAAAGAUGGUGAACUAUGCCUGGGCAGGGUGAAGCCAGAGGAAACUCUGGUGGAGGUCCGAAGCGAUUCUGACGUGCAAAUCGAUCGUCAAACCUGGGUAUAGGGGCGAAAGACUAAUCGAACCAUCUA